GCGCCCUUAGCUCAGUCGGAUAGAGCAACGGCCUUCUAAGCCGUGGGUCGCAGGUUCGAAUCCUGCAGGGCGCA
Molecule: non-coding RNA, 74 nt
Organism: Edwardsiella ictaluri 93-146
Lineage: Bacteria; Pseudomonadati; Pseudomonadota; Gammaproteobacteria; Enterobacterales; Hafniaceae
Source: Rfam